GGGCCCGCACAAGCGGUGGAUGAUGUGGAUUAAUUCGAUGCAACGCGAAGAACCUUACCUGCUCUUGACAUGCCAGGAAUCCUGCAGAGAUGUGGGAGUGCCCGCAAGGGAAUCUGGACACAGGUGCUGCAUGGCUGUCGUCAGCUCGUGUCGUGAGAUGUUGGGUUAAGUCCCGCAACGAGCGCAACCCUUAUCAUUAGUUGCUACGCAAGGGCACUCUAAUGAGACUGCCGGUGACAAACCGGAGGAAGGUGGGGAUGACGUCAAGUCCUCAUGGCCCUUAUGAGCAGGGCUUCACACGUCAUACAAUGGUCGGUACAGAGGGUAGCCAACCCGCGAGGGGGAGCCAAUCCCACAAAGCCGAUCGUAGUCCGGAUCGCAGUCUGCAACUCGACUGCGUGAAGUCGGAAUCGCUAGUAAUCGCGGAUCAGCAUGUCGCGGUGAAUACGUUCCCGGGCCUU
Molecule: ribosomal RNA, 461 nt
Filed under: uncultured bacterium
Lineage: Bacteria
Description: bacterial SSU rRNA
Rfam family: Bacterial small subunit ribosomal RNA
Source: RNAcentral